RNAcentral lists this ribosomal RNA (253 nucleotides) under uncultured bacterium. RNAcentral's name for it is "partial 16S ribosomal RNA". It matches the Rfam family "Bacterial small subunit ribosomal RNA", at positions 57 to 305 of the family's 1533-position model. The record is from RNAcentral.
GCAAGUCGAGGGGUAACAGGGAUUGCUUGCAAUCCGCUGACGACCGGCGCACGGGUGCGUAACGCGUAUGCAACCUACCUUCUACAGGGGGAUAGCCCAGAGAAAUUUGGAAUAAUACCCCAUACGAUCUUUACUUGGCAUCGAGUAAAGAAGAAAACUUCGGUGGUAGAAGAUGGGCAUGCGUCCUAUUAGUUAGUUGGUGAGGUAACGGCUUACCAAGACAUCGAUAGGUAGGGGUCCUGAGAGGGAGAUC